This 1187-nucleotide long non-coding RNA is filed under the name Hordeum vulgare. RNAcentral's name for it is "long non-coding RNA (HVUL_LNC020320)". The record is from RNAcentral. Lineage: Eukaryota; Viridiplantae; Streptophyta; Magnoliopsida; Poales; Poaceae.
UGCCCCGUCCACCGCCAGAUCCGGUCAUUGCAGCAGGUGGCCCGACGCCGGCGACUGCACCGUCCAUGUCAUCUCGCCUGUGCAGGUACUUCCCUUAUUUCCCCUCCAUUGCCAUCUCUCACCAUCGAUUUCCCUCACCUCUCUUACCCUUUUCCAGAUCUGGACCGUCAUGGCGACCGCGCGUGACAUCGCCGCCGGCGGUGGGUUGCGGCCAUGGCGACCGCGCGCAACGUCAUGGAGGUCGUCCAGAAGCUCGCCUCCGACCACGCUAGGCCCCACGAUGUGAGUACCCUGCUCCCUUCUCCUUAGCUCUGCCCCCAAAUCUACUCCGACGAUGACCUCUCUGUUGUGCCCUGCAGCUGCUGUAGGAAGGGGUUAAGCUGCUGGGGACGGGGCUGCAGGGCGACCGCGCCGUGACCUUCUGCCGCCUCCUCGCCCGCAACACCGUCGGGGCCAAGCCAGCCCAACUCGCCUCCGGUACACCCACCUCCCACCUCUCUUACUCCAUGGUCGCCCUCCUCCCGCUUCUUUCCUCCCAUGCUAAUCAGCAAUUCAGGAUUCAAUUAUACAAGACCCAUGUUCAAGUUCUUGUGAGCCAAUGUCUCCUUCAUAGUUGUAUUAUCGCGAGCAACCGUUUGUUGGCCUACUUGGAUAGGAAAUAAACAUUUUUCGGUUGUUGAUGUGACAUAAGGGCAUCAUCCAAUUAGUUAGGAAAUAUUACAUAAAAAACAAAAAGGUAUGCUAGAAAUGAAGGUUUAUUUUUCAUGCUUCAUAUAAAUUGUUUACCCUACUUUCUGUAUAAGUUGAUGAAGGCCAAGAUAAGUCUCGAAGUCGAUAUCCACACAAAAGGUAUCCAUCAUUUUAUUUUCCAGUGUAUAAGUUCCUUUGGCGAUUGUAGGGCUCAAUGCUACAAAAUUUUGUGCAAUCCUGCAGUAAUAAUUCUUAGCUAGAAAUUUACAGUAUACGGUAGAUGCCAUCCUCAGUUUAGAGAGUUCUCUGUAGUUCUGGUCCUUCUGAUCUCGGUGAUCUCACUUUCCAUGGCUUGUAUAUUGUCAACCAUCAUCUCUGAUGCUUUCGCAUUUUCCUGUAAACUGAUAACCCCAGCAACAGCCAACCUGAGCACAGCCGACCUGAGCGGGAGGGAUAUGGAGCCAACGUCGUGGACACGUCGUCCGCUGCUGCUGAAG